GCUUCUUUUUCCACCGGAGCUUGCUCCACCGGAAAAAGAAGAGUGGCGAACGGGUGAGUAACACGUGGGUAACCUGCCCAUCAGAAGGGGAUAACACUUGGAAACAGGUGCUAAUACCGUAUAACAAUCGAAACCGCAUGGUUUUGAUUUGAAAGGCGCUUUCGGGUGUCGCUGAUGGAUGGACCCGCGGUGCAUUAGCUAGUUGGUGAGGUAACGGCUCACCAAGGCCACGAUGCAUAGCCGACCUGAGAGGGUGAUCGGCCACAUUGGGACUGAGACACGGCCCAAACUCCUACGGGAGGCAGCAGUAGGGAAUCUUCGGCAAUGGACGAAAGUCUGACCGAGCAACGCCGCGUGAGUGAAGAAGGUUUUCGGAUCGUAAAACUCUGUUGUUAGAGAAGAACAAGGAUG
Molecule: ribosomal RNA, 411 nt
Filed under: Enterococcus durans
Lineage: Bacteria; Bacillati; Bacillota; Bacilli; Lactobacillales; Enterococcaceae
Description: bacterial SSU rRNA
Rfam family: Bacterial small subunit ribosomal RNA
Source: RNAcentral